GAUGAACGCUGGCGGCGUGCCUAAUACAUGCAAGUCGAGCGAACGGACGCGAAGCUUGCUUCGCUGAUGUUAGCGGCGGGCGGGAGAGUAACACGAGGAUACUCCACCUAUAAGACUGGGAUAAUCUCGGGAAACCGUCGCUAACCCCGGAUAAUCUUUUGAACCGCAUGGGUCAAUAGUGAAAGACGGUGUUGCGGUCUGUUAUAGAUGGAUCUGCGCUGGAUUAGCUAGUUGGUAAGGUAACGGGUUUCCAAGGCAACGAUGCAUAGCCGACCUGAGAGGGUGGUAGGCCACACUAGAACUUGGACGCGGUCCAGAGUCCUACGGGAGGCCGCAGUAGGGAAUCUUCCGCAGUAGGCGGGAGCCUGACGGAGCAACGCCACGUGUGUGAUGACGGUCUUCGGAUCGUAAAACUCUGUUAUUGGGUAAGAACAUAUGUGUAAGUAACUGUGCAGUGCUUGACGGUACCUAAUCAGAAAGCCACGGCUAACUACGUG
This 497-nucleotide ribosomal RNA is filed under the name uncultured bacterium. RNAcentral's name for it is "partial 16S ribosomal RNA". It matches the Rfam family "Bacterial small subunit ribosomal RNA", at positions 28 to 507 of the family's 1533-position model. The record is from RNAcentral.